GCCAGCCCAGCUCUAUCCUCUCCCACCACCCAUCGCUUCGCCGGUAUCCGCAGCCAGCCAGCGCCCAAGAAUGGCGUCGGCACCCUCCCGCGCCCUCCCCUUCCUCUCGCCGCCGUCCACCGCCCCCGCCUCCGCCUCCCUGCGCGCCCCCUCCAGCCGCCUCCGCUGCGCGGCCGCCGCCGGCCAGGCCGGCUUCUUCACCCGCCUCGGCCGCCUCAUCAAGGAGAAGGCCAAGAGCGACGUCGACAAGCUCUUCUCCGGCUUCUCCAAGACCCGCGAGAACCUCUCCGUCGUCGACGAGCUGCUCACCUACUGGAACCUCGCCGACACCGACCGCGUCCUCGACGACCUCGAGGAGGCGCUGCUGGUGUCGGACUUCGGGCCCAAGAUCUCGUUCCGGAUCGUCGACACCCUCCGCGACCAGAUCCGCGACGGCAAGCUCAAGUCCGGGACCGAGAUCAAGGCGUCGCUGAAGAGAUGCAUCCUCGAGCUGCUCACGACCAAGGGCAGCAAGACUGAGCUGCAGCUCGGCUUCAGGUUCUGCCUGCCCUCUGCUGGACUGAAUGAGGCAAUGGCCACUAGUUUACCAUUGUUGAGUGGUGUCUCAAUUUUGAGUGUGCUUGGUCGUUUUGGCAGGAAGCCGGCAGUCAUCAUGAUUGUGGGAGUGAACGGAGGCGGCAAGACGACAUCGCUAGGAAAACUUGCCUACAGAUUUAAGAAUGAAGGAGCCAAGGUAUUGAUGGCAGCAGGUGAUACCUUCCGGGCAGCAGCUCGUGACCAGCUAGAAAUUUGGGCUGAGAGGACUGGCUCAGAGAUUGUUAUCGAUAAUGAUAAGAAGGCACAGGCUCCAUCAGUUCUUUCGCAGGCAGUAAAACGUGGGAAGCGUGAAGGAUUUGAUGUUGUGCUGUGUGAUACGUCAGGACGUACGGACUUCAUACAAAUUACGGUCUGAUGGAAGAGUUGGUUUCUUGCAAGAAAGUCAUAGCUAAAGCCCUGCCUGGUGCUCCUAAUGAGAUCUUGCUGGUUCUGGAUGGCACAACUGGAUUAAAUAUGCUACAGCAAGCGAAGGAGUUCAACGAUGUUGUUGGAAUCACAGGAUUCAUCCUGACGAAGUUAGACGGGACUGCUCGUGGUGGCUGCGUGGUGAGCGUGGUAGACGAACUUGGAAUUCCAGUCAAGUUUGUUGGCGUCGGCGAAGGGGUGGAAGAUCUCCAACCUUUUGAUGCAGAGGCAUUUGUUGAAGCCAUUUUCCCAUAAAUUUGACCCUGUUACUAGUGUUUCUCAUGUAACAAGAUUUUGGCUAACAUGCUAGAACUUAUUAGAAGCAAUUUUUUUCAACAAUUACAGUUUUUUUGGUUCA
RNA transcript from Aegilops tauschii subsp. strangulata, 1360 nucleotides. It is a transcript of the gene named cell division protein FtsY homolog, chloroplastic, with no coding region annotated. Lineage: Eukaryota; Viridiplantae; Streptophyta; Magnoliopsida; Poales; Poaceae. The record is from RefSeq and is a predicted model, not a curated record.